GAUGAACGCUGGCGGCGUGCCUAAUACAUGCCAGUCGAGCGAACAGACGAGGAGCUUGCUCCUCUGACGUUAGCGGCGGACGGGUGAGUAACACGUGGAUAACCUACCUAUAAGACUGGGAUAACUUCGGGAAACCGGAGCUAAUACCGGAUAAUAUAUUGAACCGCAUGGUUCAAUAGUGAAAGACGGUUUUGCUGUCACUUAUAGAUGGAUCCGCGCCGCAUUAGCUAGUUGGUAAGGUAACGGCUUACCAAGGCGACGAUGCGUAGCCGACCUGAGAGGGUGAUCGGCCACACUGGAACUGAAACACGGUCCAGACUCCUACGGGAGGCAGCAGUAGGGAAUCUUCCGCAAUGGGCGAAAGCCUGACGGAGCAACGCCGCGUGAGUGAUGAAGGUCUUCGGAUCGUAAAACUCUGUUAUUAGGGAAGAACAAAUGUGUAAGUAACUAUGCACGUCUUGACGGUACCUAAUCAGAAAGCCACGGCUAACUACGUG
RNAcentral lists this ribosomal RNA (497 nucleotides) under uncultured bacterium. Its description in RNAcentral is "partial 16S ribosomal RNA". It matches the Rfam family "Bacterial small subunit ribosomal RNA", at positions 28 to 507 of the family's 1533-position model. The record is from RNAcentral.